CCUACGGGUGGCUGCAGUGAGGAAUAUUGGUCAAUGGACGCAAGUCUGAACCAGCCAUGCCGCGUGCAUGAAGACGGCCCUAUGAGUUGUAAACUGCUUUUGUACGAGGGUAAAUCUUGAUACGUGUAUCGUGUUGAAAGUAUCUUACGAAUAAGGAUCGGCUAACUCCGUGCCAGCAGCCGCGGUAAUACGGAGGAGUCAAUCGUUAACCGGAUUUAUUGGGUUUAAAGGGUGCGUAGGCGGUUCGAUAAGUUAGAGGUGAAAUCCCGGGGCUCAACUCCGGCACUGCCUCUGAUACUGUCGGGCUAGAGUUUAGUUGCGGUAGGCAGAAUGUAUGGUGUAGCGGUGAAAUGCAUAGAGAUCAUACAGAACACCGAUUGCGAAGGCAGCUUACCAAACUACGACUGACGUUGAGGCACGAAAGCGUGUGGAGCAAACAGGAUUAGAUACCCCGGUAGUC
RNAcentral lists this ribosomal RNA (460 nucleotides) under uncultured bacterium. Its description in RNAcentral is "partial 16S ribosomal RNA". It matches the Rfam family "Bacterial small subunit ribosomal RNA", at positions 338 to 795 of the family's 1533-position model. The record is from RNAcentral.